GACAGAGGGUGCAAACGUUGUUCGGAAUUACUGGGCGUAAAGCGUACGUAGGCGGCUUUGUAAGUAAGACGUGAAAGCCCGGAGCUCAACUCCGGAACUGCCUUUUAGACUGCAUCGCUUGAAUCCAGGAGAGGUGAGUGGAAUUCCGAGUGUAGAGGUGAAAUUCGUAGAUAUUCGGAAGAGCACCAGUGGCGAAGGCGGCUCACUGGACUGGUAUUGACGCUGAGGUACGAAAGCGUGGGGAGCAAACAGG
This 253-nucleotide ribosomal RNA is filed under the name uncultured bacterium. RNAcentral describes it as "partial 16S ribosomal RNA". It matches the Rfam family "Bacterial small subunit ribosomal RNA", at positions 524 to 776 of the family's 1533-position model. The record is from RNAcentral.